RNAcentral lists this ribosomal RNA (867 nucleotides) under Acinetobacter sp. Its description in RNAcentral is "bacterial SSU rRNA". It matches the Rfam family "Bacterial small subunit ribosomal RNA", at positions 56 to 921 of the family's 1533-position model. The record is from RNAcentral. Lineage: Bacteria; Pseudomonadati; Pseudomonadota; Gammaproteobacteria; Moraxellales; Moraxellaceae.
UGCAGUCGAGCGGGGAGGAGCUUGCUACCUGACCUAGCGGCGGACGGGUGAGUAAUGCUUAGGAAUCUGCCUAUUAGUGGGGGACAACAUUCCGAAAGGAAUGCUAAUACCGCAUACGCCCUACGGGGGAAAGCAGGGGAUCUUCGGACCUUGCGCUAAUAGAUGAGCCUAAGUCAGAUUAGCUAGUUGGUGGGGUAAAGGCCUACCAAGGCGACGAUCUGUAGCGGGUCUGAGAGGAUGAUCCGCCACACUGGGACUGAGACACGGCCCAGACUCCUACGGGAGGCAGCAGUGGGGAAUAUUGGACAAUGGGCGAAAGCCUGAUCCAGCCAUGCCGCGUGUGUGAAGAAGGCCUUUUGGUUGUAAAGCACUUUAAGCGAGGAGGAGGCUACUUGGAUUAAUACUCUAGGAUAGUGGACGUUACUCGCAGAAUAAGCACCGGCUAACUCUGUGCCAGCAGCCGCGGUAAUACAGAGGGUGCGAGCGUUAAUCGGAUUUACUGGGCGUAAAGCGUGCGUAGGCGGCUUUUUAAGUCGGAUGUGAAAUCCCUGAGCUUAACUUAGGAAUUGCAUUCGAUACUGGGAAGCUAGAGUAUGGGAGAGGAUGGUAGAAUUCCAGGUGUAGCGGUGAAAUGCGUAGAGAUCUGGAGGAAUACCGAUGGCGAAGGCAGCCAUCUGGCCUAAUACUGACGCUGAGGUACGAAAGCAUGGGGAGCAAACAGGAUUAGAUACCCUGGUAGUCCAUGCCGUAAACGAUGUCUACUAGCCGUUGGGGCCUUUGAGGCUUUAGUGGCGCAGCUAACGCGAUAAGUAGACCGCCUGGGGAGUACGGUCGCAAGACUAAAACUCAAAUGAAUUGACGGGGGCC